RNAcentral lists this ribosomal RNA (482 nucleotides) under uncultured bacterium. RNAcentral describes it as "bacterial SSU rRNA". It matches the Rfam family "Bacterial small subunit ribosomal RNA", at positions 1 to 531 of the family's 1533-position model. The record is from RNAcentral.
GCCCUUAGAGUUUGAUCCUGGCUCAGAACGAACGCUGGCGGCAGGCCUAACACAUGCAAGUCGAGCGCACCCUUCGGGGCGAGCGGCGGACGGGUUAGUAACGCGUGGGAACAUACCCUUUUCUACGGAAUAGCCUCGGGAAACUGAGAGUAAUACCGUAUAAGCCCUUCGGGGGAAAGAUUUAUCGGGAAAGGAUUGGCCCGCGUUAGAUUAGAUAGUUGGUGGGGUAAUGGCCUACCAAGUCUACGAUCUAUAGCUGGUUUUAGAGGAUGAUCAGCAACACUGGGACUGAGACACGGCCCAGACUCCUACGGGAGGCAGCAGUGGGGAAUCUUAGACAAUGGGCGCAAGCCUGAUCUAGCCAUGCCGCGUGUGUGAUGAAGGCCUUAGGGUCGUAAAGCACUUUCGCUAGGGAUGAUAAUGACAGUACCUAGUAAAGAAACCCCGGCUAACACCCUCCAACAGCCGCGGUAAUAAGGGCG